GUCUUCUUGAUUUUUUUGGAAGUCUGGCCUGCCCAGUGAUGAGUUUAACGGCCGCGGUAUAUUGACCGUGCAAAGGUAGCAUAAUCAUUAGUCUUUUAAUAAAAGGCUGGAAUGAAAGGUUUAACGAAAAACUAUCUGUCUCAUUUAUAUAUUAAAAUUUAAUUUUUGAGUUAAAAAGCUUAAAUUUUGUUGGUGGACGAGAAGACCCUAUAGAGCUUUACAGUUAAUAAAUAUUAAUUUUAUAUGGUUUAUAAUUGGAUUUAAUUUUUAAUUCUGUUUUGUUGGGGUGACAAGAAAUAUUUAAUUAACUUUUAUUAUUUUGUGUACAUUAAUUUAUGGAAUUUGGAUCCAGUAUUAUUGAUCAUUAGACUAAGUUACCUUAGGGAUAACAGCGUAAUCUUCUUUAAGAGUUCAAAUCUACGGGAAGGCUUGCGACCUCGAUGUUGGAUUAAGAUUAUAAUUAGGUGUAGUAGCUUAAUUAAUAGGUCUGUUCGACCUUUAAAUUCUUACAUGAUCUGAGUUCAGACCGG
Molecule: ribosomal RNA, 530 nt
Filed under: Mortonagrion martini
Lineage: Eukaryota; Metazoa; Arthropoda; Insecta; Odonata; Coenagrionidae
Description: partial 16S ribosomal RNA
Rfam family: Bacterial large subunit ribosomal RNA
Source: RNAcentral